UAAAACUUUAAGUUAUAUAAACUAAUAAUCUUCAAAAUUAUAAAAAAAAUUUUUUUAAGUUUUA
RNAcentral lists this transfer RNA (64 nucleotides) under Triaenodes tardus. Its description in RNAcentral is "tRNA-Trp". The record is from RNAcentral. Lineage: Eukaryota; Metazoa; Arthropoda; Insecta; Trichoptera; Leptoceridae.